AUUAAGUUUAAUUUAAUAUAGGAUCUGCUCAAUGAUUUAUUAAAUAGCUGCAGUAUUUUGACUGUGCAAAGGUAGCGUAAUAAUUAGUCUUUUAAUUGAGGACUUGAAUGAAAGAUUUGAUGAGAAAUAAACUUUAUUAUUUAUAUAAUUAAAAUUUUAUUUUUAAGUAAAAAAGCUUAAAUAAUUUAAAGGGACGAUAAGACCCUAUAAAACUUUAUAAAUGUUAAUUUAAAUUUUUUUGGUUUUAUAAAUAUUUUUAUUUUAUUAUUUAUUUUAUUGGGGUGAUAAAAAAAAUUGUUAAACUUUUUUUAAAAUUUUACAUUAUUUAAUGAAUAUUUGAAUUAAAAUUUUUAAUUAAAGGAAAAAGUUACUUUAGGGAUAACAGCGUAAUUAAUUUUUUAAGUUCAAAUUUAAAAAUUAGUUUGCGACCUCGAUGUUGAAUUAAGAUUAAUCUUAGGUGCAAAAUUUUAAGUGUUAGGUCUGUUCGACCUUUAAAUUCUUACGUGA
RNAcentral lists this ribosomal RNA (507 nucleotides) under Myzus siegesbeckiae. RNAcentral describes it as "partial 16S ribosomal RNA". The record is from RNAcentral. Lineage: Eukaryota; Metazoa; Arthropoda; Insecta; Hemiptera; Aphididae.